CAAAAUAGAGUAAAUGGAUACUUUACAAAUAGCUUUGCAAAACACAAUGACAUGCACAAGUUUAUUCUUAACACACAAGUCUAGACAGCUCACAUACCCAAUACACACAAACACACACACACUCAUACAUAUGGACAGUAAAAAUGUUUUUCUUUUCAAUGUAUGAACACACUAAGUUCCAAUCUAUCACUUCUUUCCUAAUCCUAUUUGAGUCUGGAUUGUGAUUGUUUGCUAAGCAGUUAGUGAUAGUCACUUGUUUAAAGCCUAUACAUCUAUUAUUUAAAUGGAGGAGGAGAUGGACAUUGAGAUGGAGGAGGAGAAAAAACUGAAGAAUGUAUAGGAUGUGCUUCAAUAUCAUCACAUGGACAUUCAGAUAGACAUUAACAAAAACAUUUUCAACACAAAUGCAUUUUUUGAAAAAGAAGCUUGCUGGAGCAGCAAGGGGUAACUCAGUGAUAAUGAGUGCAAAAGAAAAAC
This is a non-coding RNA of Pelobates cultripes (western spadefoot toad), 477 nucleotides long. Lineage: Eukaryota; Metazoa; Chordata; Amphibia; Anura; Pelobatidae. The record is from the annotation of a GenBank genome assembly.